Molecule: unclassified non-coding RNA, 1931 nt
Filed under: uncultured Bordetella sp.
Lineage: Bacteria; Pseudomonadati; Pseudomonadota; Betaproteobacteria; Burkholderiales; Alcaligenaceae
Description: partial 16S-23S ribosomal RNA intergenic spacer
Rfam family: Bacterial small subunit ribosomal RNA (bases 829-1931)
Source: RNAcentral
UUAAGCCAUGUACACCUCCCUGGGGAGUCAGGUAAUUAUAUUACCUGUUACGACUUCCCCACCCGUCAUGCACUACCGCGGGCGGGGGCAUCGCCUCCCACGGUUAGGGCUAACUAAUUUUAAAAACCCACGGGCAUGGGCGCAGCGGCACUCCGGGAAGCUCUCACCGUGACAUAUUGAUCCGCGAUUACUCAUGAUUCACUACGUAGUGCCGAGUUGCGACUGCGAUCUGCCCGGCGGUUCUCCGCGGGCCAUGCGACCCCGCCUGACCAUUGCGGGCUGACGCAGUCACAUGGUCACCGGCAAAAUCUCAUUAGAGUGCCCUUUUCGACGAAGCCAGGCUGUUGCGGGAUCACUUAACCCAACAUCUCACACACGAGCUGACGACAGCCAUGUAGCACUCUGUGCUCCGGUUCUGAGCACCCGUCUUCCUUCGGGAUUCCAGACAUGUCAAGGGUAGGCAGGUUUUGCCGCGUUGCAUCGAAUUGGUCCACAUCAUCCACUGCUUGUGCGGGUCCUUGUCAAUUUCUUUGAGUUUUAAUCUGCGACUGCAGCUCCCAGGCGGUCACCUCACGUUAUUGCAGCACAAGGCCUGAAGGCCCCAAUACAAGGACAUCAGCCUAGGGCGUGGACUACCAGGCCUAAUCCUGUUUGUCUCACGCUGCAUGACAAGUGUUAUCCAGGAGGCUGCCUUCUGCCAUCGGUACUCCUCCGCAUAUCCUAUUCACUGCCACACGCGCACUCCACCUCCUCUGACACCAGCUCGGCAGUUGCACGUAGUUCCAGUUAAGCCUGGGACUAUCUUUCUUUCGAAAUCGCCUGCUUUACGCUCCAAAGUAAUUCCGAUUAACGCUUGCACCCACGUAUACGCCAGGCCGCUGGCGCGGUUAGGGCCGGCGCCUGCAGGGUAUUGUCAGUUGCACGAUAAUACCCCGUGCAAUUGACGGUACCUGCAGAAUAAGCACCGGCUAACUACGUGCCAGCAGCCGCGGUAAUACGAGUGUGCGUUAAUCGGAAUUACUGGGCGUAGCGCAUGCGUUCUGAAAAAGAAAGAUGUGGAAAUCCUUGUUUAACUUUGGAACUGCAUUUUUAACUACUGACAGAGGCCGGGAGGAGGUGGAAUUCCGCGUGUAGCAGUGAAAUGCGUAGAUACGCGAGGAAUGACUACGACAUGGCGAAGGCAGCCCGGGAUGAAGACGACGCCUGCACGAAAGCGUGGGGAGCAAACAGGAUUAGAUACCCUGGUAGUCCACGCCCUAAACGAUGUCAACUAGCUGUUGGGGCCUUCGGGCCUUGGUAGCGCAGCUAACGCGUGAAGUUGACCGCCUGGGAGGUGGCCGGCUGCGAUUAAAAACCAAAGAAUGAUUAACGCACGUGGAUACUGUGAUCGCCAAUUCGAUGCAACGCGAAAACCCAUCACCUUGACAUGUCUGAAUCCCGAAGAGAUUUGGGAGUGCUCGCAAGAGAACCGGAACACAGGUGCUGCAUGGCUGUCGUCAGCUCGUGUCGUGAGAUGUUGGGUUAAGUCCCGCAACGAGCGGCAACCCUUGCCACAGUUGCUGGCUGCACACCCUGAAUGAGAUCUGUUGCGGAUGAAACCAGAGGAAGGUGGGGAUGACGUCAAGUCCUCAUGGCCCUUAUGGGUAGGGCUUCACACUAUUACAAUGGCUGGGACAGAGGGUCGCCAACCCGCGAGGGGGAGCUAAUCCCAGAAACCGAUCGUAGUCCGGAUCGCAGUCUGCAACUCGACUGCGUGAAGUCGGAAUCGCUAGUAAUCGCGGAUCAGCAUGUCGCGGUGAAUACGUUCCCGGGUCUUGUACACACCGCCCGUCACACCAUGGAGUGGGUUUUACCAGAAGUAGUUAGCCUAACCGUAAGGAGGGCGAUUACCACGGUAGGAUCAUGACUGGGGUGAAGUCGUAACAAGGUAA